UGGGGAAUUGUUCGCAAUGGGCGCAAGCCUGACGACGCAACGCCGCGUGGAGGAUGAAGACCUUCGGGUCGUAAACUCCUUUCGACCAAGAUGAACAUCCAUCGAUUUAAUACAUCGACGGACUGACAGUAUUGGGAGAAGAAGCCCCGGCUAACUCCGUGCCAGCAGCCGCGGUAAUACGGGGGGGGCAAGCGUUGUUCGGAAUUACUGGGCGUAAAGGGUUCGUAGGUGGCCAACUAAGUCAGACGUGAAAUCCCUCAGCUUAACUGGGGAACUGCGUCUGAUACUGGUUGGCUUGAGUGCAGGAGAGGAAUGCGGAAUUCCAGGUGUAGCGGUGAAAUGCGUAGAUAUCUGGAGGAACACCGGUGGCGAAGGCGGCAUUCUGGACUGCAACUGACACUGAUGAACGAAAGCCAGGGGAGCAAACGG
Molecule: ribosomal RNA, 429 nt
Filed under: uncultured bacterium
Lineage: Bacteria
Description: bacterial SSU rRNA
Rfam family: Bacterial small subunit ribosomal RNA
Source: RNAcentral